UGAGCCAAGUUUAUAGGGUUUUCUCAAAACCCGAUUGCAGUAUUGAACUGAAGAGUUUGAUCAUGGCUCAGAUUGAACGCUGGCGGCAGGCCUAACACAUGCAAGUCGAGCGGUUGA
This 117-nucleotide ribosomal RNA is filed under the name Pseudomonas putida. RNAcentral describes it as "partial 16S ribosomal RNA". The stretch from base 45 to 117 matches the Rfam family "Bacterial small subunit ribosomal RNA", at positions 1 to 73 of the family's 1533-position model. The record is from RNAcentral. Lineage: Bacteria; Pseudomonadati; Pseudomonadota; Gammaproteobacteria; Pseudomonadales; Pseudomonadaceae.